This 253-nucleotide ribosomal RNA is filed under the name uncultured bacterium. Its description in RNAcentral is "partial 16S ribosomal RNA". It matches the Rfam family "Bacterial small subunit ribosomal RNA", at positions 524 to 776 of the family's 1533-position model. The record is from RNAcentral.
UACGUAGGUGGCAAGCGUUGUCCGGAUUUACUGGGCGUAAAGAGCGCGCAGGCGGUCGUCCAAGUCGCGUGUGAAAGCCCCCGGCUCAACUGGGGAGGGUCACGCGAUACUGGUCGACUCGAAGGCAGGAGAGGGUAGUGGAAUUCCUAGUGUAGAGGUGGAAUUCGUAGAUAUUAGGAAGAACACCAGUGGCGAAGGCGACUCACUGGUCCGGUACUGACGCUGAGGUGCGAAAGCGUGGGGAGCAAACAGG